This is a long non-coding RNA of Peromyscus eremicus (cactus mouse), 198 nucleotides long. RefSeq lists it as uncharacterized. The transcript is spliced from 2 exons. The record is from RefSeq and is a predicted model, not a curated record. Lineage: Eukaryota; Metazoa; Chordata; Mammalia; Rodentia; Cricetidae.
ACCUGGGUUCAGUUACCAGGACACACAUGGUUGCUCAUACCAUCUCUAACUCCAGCUCCAAGGAAUCCGAUGCCCUCUUCUCAAGUCUGAGGAUACCAGGCCUCUGGGUGGUGGGUUUCCUAGACCAAGCUAGACUCGAACUCAAGAGACACCCGCCUGUCUCAGUCAGAGUGCUGGGAUUAAAGGCAUGCGCUACCA